RNAcentral lists this long non-coding RNA (1849 nucleotides) under Olea europaea subsp. europaea. The record is from RNAcentral. Lineage: Eukaryota; Viridiplantae; Streptophyta; Magnoliopsida; Lamiales; Oleaceae.
CUAACACACACUAAAGUGUGUUGAACGGGAGGAAACGCAGAGAAGAGAAGAAAGGGAAGAAAAGAAAAAGAAGGGAAGAAAAAAAAGAGAAAGAAGAAAUCUUGUGCCAACUACUUCAAUCUUGUUUAUUUAAUUCUUCAAGAGGUAAGGUUAAUAAUUAUUGAUUUAGUUUUUGUAAAUUUUGUUUAGGGUUUUAAAUUUAUAGCUUAUACUUGAAAAAUAUGAUAAGAAAUCUAAAUAUUUGAGUAUUUGGAGCUAGUUAUUCUAGUAGAUUGGAAAAAAUGAUAUUUAGAUAUUAGGGUUUUGUCAUAUAUGGCUAAAUCCGAAAAUUUGGGGAAAUAUAUGAAUUUUUGUUAUUUUCACUUGUGAUUGUUUUAUGGUAUUAUUAAGUUAGAUUAGUUGAAAAUAACUUAUCUUAUGCUUGAAUUCUCACUUUGGAUGAAUAUGGAAAAUAUAAGAAAGGAGCUUUUGAUAAGAUUUAUGUAUUUAGUUAAAAGAGAAUUUAAAUAAGGAAUGUGGAUGAUUAUUAUCAUAAAAAACUUAUUGAAUUUUUACGGGGCAGCCGGGAAAGGUUAGUAUUAAAGAGCGAGGGAUGUAGAGUGAUUCAAAAUUAAGUGAACGUAUGUUUAAGUAACCAAAUAAAAAGAUAAAUAUUAAGUCUCAGCUUAUUGAGGGAUAUAUAUAUAUAUAUAUAUUUUAUUUUAUUUUGAUGAUAAGAAAGAGUUAUUAUUGAGAAAUCCCUUGUAAUUGUAUAUGGAUGGAAUUAAAGUAGCUUAUAUUUAUGAUCGUUUCAAGAGGGGAUUUGGACGUGGAAACAGCAUACCAGCCCCGUUAGUCCAGCCUAUACUUGUGAGUGAAGAAUCUAUAUUUUAAAAAAGAGAAUUUUCUUUUUAUUUUAUAGAAGCAUGUUAAUUAAAUGGAAUGCUUUAUUUUCGAGAAAUAGUAAAUGAGUAUGAUUGUUUUGGAAUUAUCAUAAAAUAAUUGAUGUGAUUAUCUUACUCUAAUGCACUGAGGGGCUACGACCGUGUAUUAGAGUCAUGUAUUUAAAUCUUAUCCACUGAGGGGCUACGGUCGUGGGUAAAGUUAUCCAUUAUAUACUGAGGGGCUACAGCCGUGUGUAAGGGUAACUCUUAUCCACUGAGGGGCUACAGCCGUGUGUAAGGGUAACUCUUAUCCACUGAGGGGCUACGACCGUGGGUAAAGUUAUCCAUUAUACACUGAGAGGCUACAACCGUGUAUAAUGAUGAUUAUGUUAUUCCCAUCUUGUACACUUAGGGGCUACGGCCGUGUACAGAAUAUUGAUCAGACGGUUUAUGUACAUAUGAUUUAUGGCUUUCAGAUCAUUAGUAGAUGUUUACGUGGGAUAUAUAUAUUUUGAUGUGAAUUUUAAUUAUAUAGUGGAUUAUUAGUCUUCAGCUUACAUUUUUCCCGCUUAUAGUUCAGCUUGUGGAGUUUAGAUUAUGGUUUUUAAUUAUUGAAUUGUCUAAUGUACUUACUCAUCUCGUUAUAUAUAUAUAUAUAUAUAUAUCUUUACACACAAAGGACAGUACAACCAUCUUUUAAGCACUUCACUCACUGGGAUUAUUAUUUCAUAUUUUCCUGAACUUUUCCUUAUAGGAGGCUGUUGACUGAGCGGUGGUGGAGAUUAUUUUGAUAGUUUUGCAGCCAUUGCUACCACCAAUUGUAGGUUCUUUUGUUUGAAAUUGUGUAAUCAUCAAGUAAAAUAUUUACAUCAUAUUGGAGGAAAAUUAUUUUGGUAUUUAUAUACACCAAUGAUCAUGAUGUAAUAUUGUAAUCUAAACUGCUUCUUAUUAUCCUUUUGAGAGGCAGUUUUGAUGUAUAUGUUAUG